This 253-nucleotide ribosomal RNA is filed under the name uncultured bacterium. RNAcentral describes it as "partial 16S ribosomal RNA". It matches the Rfam family "Bacterial small subunit ribosomal RNA", at positions 524 to 776 of the family's 1533-position model. The record is from RNAcentral.
UACGGGGGGGGCAAGCGUUGUUCGGAAUUACUGGGCGUAAAGGGCUCGUAGGCGGCCAACUAAGUCAGACGUGAAAUCCCUCGGCUUAACCGGGGAACUGCGUCUGAUACUGGAUGGCUUGAGUUCGGGAGAGGGAUGCGGAAUUCCAGGUGUAGCGGUGAAAUGCGUAGAUAUCAGGAGGAACACCGGUGGCGAAGGCGGUUCUCUGGGCCUUACCUGACGCUGAGGAGCGAAAGCGUGGGGAGCAAACAGG